CCUACGGGAGGCAGCAGUGGGGAAUUUUGGACAAUGGGGGCAACCCUGAUCCAGCCAUGCCGCGUGUGUGAAGAAGGCCCUCGGGUUGUAAAGCACUUUCAGUGAGGAAGAACGCCUGGUGGUUAAUACCCAUCAGGAAAGACAUCACUCACAGAAGAAGCACCGGCUAACUCCGUGCCAGCAGCCGCGGUAAUACGGAGGGUGCGAGCGUUAAUCGGAAUUACUGGGCGUAAAGCGCGCGUAGGUGGCUUGAUAAGCCGGUUGUGAAAGCCCCGGGCUCAACCUGGGAACGGCAUCCGGAACUGUCAAGCUAGAGUGCAGGAGAGGAAGGUAGAAUUCCCGGUGUAGCGGUGAAAUGCGUAGAGAUCGGGAGGAAUACCAGUGGCGAAGGCGGCCUUCUGGACUGACACUGACACUGAGGUGCGAAAGCGUGGGUAGCAAACAGGAUUAGAUACCCUUGUAGUC
This 465-nucleotide ribosomal RNA is filed under the name Vreelandella stevensii. Its description in RNAcentral is "partial 16S ribosomal RNA". It matches the Rfam family "Bacterial small subunit ribosomal RNA", at positions 338 to 795 of the family's 1533-position model. The record is from RNAcentral. Lineage: Bacteria; Pseudomonadati; Pseudomonadota; Gammaproteobacteria; Oceanospirillales; Halomonadaceae.